UACGUAGGGGGCAAGCGUUAUCCGGAUUUACUGGGUGUAAAGGGAGCGUAGGUGGUUCGAUAAGUCAGAUGUGAAAGCCCGGGGCUCAACCCCGGGACUGCAUUUGAAACUAUCGGACUAGAGUGCAGGAGAGGUAAGUGGAAUUCCUAGUGUAGCGGUGAAAUGCGUAGAUAUUAGGAGGAACACCAGUGGCGAAGGCGGCUUACUGGACUGUAACUGACACUGAGGCUCGAAAGCGUGGGGAGCAAACAGG
This 253-nucleotide ribosomal RNA is filed under the name uncultured bacterium. Its description in RNAcentral is "partial 16S ribosomal RNA". It matches the Rfam family "Bacterial small subunit ribosomal RNA", at positions 524 to 776 of the family's 1533-position model. The record is from RNAcentral.